AGUGAACGCUGGCGGUAGGCCUAACACAUGCAAGUCGAACGGCAGCACAGUAAGAGCUUGCUCUUACGGGUGGCGAGUGGCGGACGGGUGAGGAAUACAUCGGAAUCUACUUUUUCGUGGGGGAUAACGUAGGGAAACUUACGCUAAUACCGCAUACGACCUACGGGUGAAAGCAGGGGAUCUUCGGACCUUGCGCGAUUGAAUGAGCCGAUGUCGGAUUAGCUAGUUGGCGGGGUAAAGGCCCACCAAGGCGACGAUCCGUAGCUGGUCUGAGAGGAUGAUCAGCCUCACUGGAACUGGGACACGGUCCAGACUCCUACGGGAGGCAGCAGUGGGGAAUAUUGGACAAUGGGCGCAAGCCUGAUCCAGCCAUACCGCGUGGGUGAAGAAGGCCUUCGGGUUGUAAAGCCCUUUUGUUGGGAAAGAAAAGCAGCAGGUUAAUACCCCGCUGUUCUGACGGUACCCAAAGAAUAAGCACCGGCUAACUUCGUG
Molecule: ribosomal RNA, 492 nt
Filed under: uncultured bacterium
Lineage: Bacteria
Description: partial 16S ribosomal RNA
Rfam family: Bacterial small subunit ribosomal RNA
Source: RNAcentral